GUGCUCACUUUGGCAGCACAUAUACUAAAAUUGGAAUGAUACAGAGAAGAUUAGCAUGGCCCCUGCACAAGGAUGACAUGCAAAUUUGAGACGCAUUACAUAUUUAU
Molecule: small nuclear RNA, 107 nt
Organism: Otolemur garnettii (small-eared galago)
Lineage: Eukaryota; Metazoa; Chordata; Mammalia; Primates; Galagidae
Source: Ensembl